UAGGGAAUCUUCCACAAUGGGCGAAAGCCUGAUGGAGCAACGCCGCGUGUGUGAUGAAGGGUUCCGGCUCGUAAACACUGUUGUAAGAGAAGAAUGACAUUGAGAGUAACUGUUCAAUGUGUGACGGUAUCUUACCAGAAAGGAACGGCUAAAUACGUGCCA
This 162-nucleotide ribosomal RNA is filed under the name uncultured bacterium. Its description in RNAcentral is "partial 16S rRNA". It matches the Rfam family "Bacterial small subunit ribosomal RNA", at positions 355 to 510 of the family's 1533-position model. The record is from RNAcentral.